UAUUCAUCACGGAGCCCUUUUCAACGAUUCCUGAGUGUAUGCUACUGAGGGCACCCUUGGUGGGCCCCUAGAUAAUUUCAAGAUGGGGGGCUGGUGGCCUGAGGAUCCAACCAUGCGAUUGGAUUUCCAACCCUGCUCUGCUCCCAUAGCCCUCCCAGAGUCCAGGGAGGGGAGGGGGGCUGGAAAUUGAAUGGGAUCACCAAGGGCCAAUGAGUUAAUGCACCGUGCCUGUGUGAUGGCACCUCCAGAAACACCCUACGUGGAGGAGUUCGGAGACUAUCUGAGUCGAAGAAUCUGGAUAUGAUAAAGAGAUCACGGGGCUCAAGGAUGAAGCUCCUACUCUGCCAGUAAGCCUCUUGGAGCAGCAUGUGUAGGCAGCUGGCACGUCUGACCAGGCUCCUGGAGGAGGAACUUUUAGAAAAGAGAAACAGAACGUUUCUCCAAACAGAAUGAUGGCCCUUGAUAGAGUCACCUGGAUGCUCUCUGAGCUCUCCGCUGUGCCCUGGAGCUUUCCUCUGAGCAUCGGUUCUCGUCACCUGAUGUACUCACCUCCUGCUGAGCCCUCCACCGCAACCCAGGUGUUGGGGUGGGGCGACCCCCCACUCCAUCCAGGCGGGGUAUUUGUGCCUUCGGAACCGGGCAGAAGGAGUUUGGCUCUGGGGAGACAGUGCCUUUGAUCCUAGAGGUGGCAGGAAUACACCUGGAUCACUUGUUCCUAAUCUUUCCAUGGUUGUAGACGCCUGAAAGCUAUAAAUCUACCCCCACCUCUUCGCCCCAGGAAAACCUGUGGAUUUUUCUGUAUGACUUCAGCAUAAACCACAGCAUGCACGGGGGUCCUGGAGACGCCGUCCGGGGCGUACAACCCUUAGCUCAACAACCCCAGCACCCCGGGUACACUGCAGCCACAUUCCUCCCUGGGGCCUACCCACCCCUUGUCAUCAACUUGACGCAGCAAAUUUCUCUGUGAUUCAUUAACUCUUCCUUCCUUGCAUCACUGACCUUGUGCCUGCUGUUCCAAAGGCUGGUCGUCACGUGCCUCCUUCUUCCUCUGGCCAUCAUCCUGUUGGGCAAGAUAAACGCGCUUCCCAGCCCUCAGGCACCUCUUGCCCGGCACGAAAUGCCCACUGACCAACCCCUGCUCCUCUCACCCUGGCCCGCUCCCCUAGCCUCUGGAGCAAGGCUCGGUAGGAGAGAGCCCUUUCCCUCCAACCUUUUGCCAUCUGGAUCAGUCUUCCGGAACAUUCCUGAAAGCUGUAAAUCUUCCAAGUAAACUUGAUUUUCCUUUCUGGCUCUCGCCUGUAAA
Long non-coding RNA from Canis lupus familiaris (dog), 1303 nucleotides. RefSeq lists it as uncharacterized. Lineage: Eukaryota; Metazoa; Chordata; Mammalia; Carnivora; Canidae. The record is from RefSeq and is a predicted model, not a curated record. The transcript is spliced from 2 exons.